CAGCAAUGGGGACAGGGACAUGGAUGGGAGAGGACAGGUUGGGUUGGGGAUGUGGAUGAGGUGGGACAGGAAUGGGACAGCACGGGGACAGGGACAAUAAAGGGAUGGGACAAUAAAGGGAUGGGACAAUAAAGGGAUGGGGACAGAGAUCGAGUGAGGAUGUGGAUGGAAUAGGACAGGAGAGAGAUGGGGACAGGGACAUGGAUGGGAUGGGGACAAGGAUGGUAUGGGGACAUGGAUGGAGUGAGACAGGAUAGGGACAGGGACGUGGAAGGGAGGGGACAGGUUGGGUUGGGGACGUGGAUGAGGUGGGACAGGGAUGGGACAGCACGGGGACAGGGACAUGGACGGGAUGGGGACAUGGAUGGGAUGGGACAGUAAAGGGAUGGGGACAGAGGUGGAGCGAGGAUGUGGAUGGAAUAGGACAGGACAGGGAUGGGGACAGGGAUGGGGAUGUGGAUGGGGACACAGAGAGCAAGGAUGUGGAUGGAUUAGGAGAGGAUAAAGUUGGGGACAGGGACAUGGAUGGGGACAUGGGUAGAGUGGAACAGGAUAGGGACAGGGACGUGGAUGGGAGGGGACAGGUUGGGUUGGGGACGUGGAUGAGGUGGGACAGGGAUGGGACAGCACGGGGACAGGGACAUGGAUGGGAUGGGAUGGGACAGUAAAGGGAUGGGGACAGAGAUGGAGCGAGGAUGUGGAUGGAAUAGGACAGGAGAGGGAUGGGGACAGGGACAUGGAUGGGAUGGGGAUGUGGAUGGGAACAGAGAGCAAGGAUGUGGAUGGAAUAGGACAGGAUGGAGAUGGGGACAGGGACAUGGAUGGGAUGGGACAGGGAUAGAGAACAGGGAUGGGGACAUGGAUGGGACAGACACAGGGAAGGGGUGGGCACAGCGUGGGGAAAGGGACAGGAGGGGAGCUGGGGACAGGGACAGGGAUGGGAUGGGACAGGGAUGGGGAUGGGGGGGACAGGGACAGGGACAUGGAUGGGGUGGGACAGGAUGGGAAUGGGGGACAUGGGAUGGGAUGGGAUGGGACAUGGAUAGAGACAGGGAUGGGGACAUGGAUGGGACAGACACAGGGAAGGGAUGGACGCUGAAUGGGGAAAGGGACAGGACGGGAGCUGGGGACAGGGACAGGGAUGGGGACAGGGACGUGGAUGGCAUGGGACAGGAUGGGAAUGGGGGACAUGGGAUGGGAUGGGAUGGGACAUGGCUAGAGACAGGGAUGGGGACAUGGAUGGGACAGACACAAGGAAGGGGUGGACAGUGCGUGGGGAACGGGACAGGACGGGAGCUGGGGACAGGGACGUGGGAUGGGGCCGGGCGGGGGCUGUCCCCACGCGGGGGUGUCCCCGCGUCCCCCAACGCCGCCGUCCUCGCAGUGCCCGGUGCUGAAGGGACGCGUGCAGAAGAUCCUGUACUGGCGGUGGGGGGAGCCGCCCCCGCCCGUGGCCGUGCCUCCCCCCGAGGGCCCCCCCGAGGGCCCCCCCAAAGUGCUGCAGGGCCGCUCGGAGCGAGAGUUCUUCGUCAAAUGGGUGGGGCUGUCCUACUGGCACUGCUCCUGGAUCAAGGAGCUGCAGGUACCGGGGG
Molecule: long non-coding RNA, 1592 nt
Organism: Numida meleagris (helmeted guineafowl)
Lineage: Eukaryota; Metazoa; Chordata; Aves; Galliformes; Numididae
Source: Ensembl